UAUCAAUAAGCGGAGGAAAAGAAACCAACAGGGAUUGCCCCAGUAACGGCGAGUGAAGCGGCAACAGCUCAAAUUUGAAAUCUGGCUUUAGUAAAAGUCCGAGUUGUAAUUUGCAGAGGAUGCUUUUGGCGUGGCACUAACUAAGUUCCCUGGAAUGGGACGCCAUAGAGGGUAAGAGCCCCGUCUAGUUAGGCGCUAUAGCCUUUGUAAAGCUCCUUCGACGAGUCGAGUAGUUUGGGAAUGCUGCUCAAAGCGGGAGGUAUAUGUCUUCUAAAGCUAAAUAUCAGCUAGAGACCGAUAGCGCACAAGUAGAGUGAUCGAAAGAUGAAAAGCACUUUGAAAAGAGGGUUAAACAGUACGUGAAAUUGCUAAAAGGGAAGCACUUGCAACUAGACGUAGCGCGUGCCAAUCACCUGGCAUUUGUGUCAGGGCACUUGGGGCGAUGCUAGGCCAGCAUCGGUUUGCUGUGGGGGAUAAAGACAUCUGGAACGUAGCCCUUUGGGUGUUAUAGCCAGGUGUGCAAUGCCCUGCGGCAGACCGAGGACCUUGCGCAUCUGCAAAGAUGCUGGCGUAAUAGUUGCUAGUGACCCGUCUUGAAACACGGACCAAGGAGUCGUCCUCGUAUGCGAGUGUUUGGGUGUUAAACCCGGGCGCGGAAUGAAAGUAAACGCAGGUAAGAGCCUCGGCGCAUUACCGACCGAUCUUGAUGUUCUCGGAUGGAUUUGAGUAUGAGCAUACGGGGCCGGACCCGAAAGAAGGUGAACUAUGCCUGCGUAGGGUGAAGCCAGAGGAAACUCUGGUGGAGGCUCGCAGCGGUUCUGACGUGCAAAUCGAUCGUCAAACGUGGGCAUGGGGGCGAAAGACUAAUCGAACCUUCUAGUAGCUGGUUUC
This 891-nucleotide ribosomal RNA is filed under the name Ophiocordyceps nutans. RNAcentral describes it as "LSU rRNA". It matches the Rfam family "Eukaryotic large subunit ribosomal RNA", at positions 41 to 958 of the family's 3401-position model. The record is from RNAcentral. Lineage: Eukaryota; Fungi; Ascomycota; Sordariomycetes; Hypocreales; Ophiocordycipitaceae.